AGUGAACGCUGGCGGUAGGCCUAACACAUGCAAGUCGAACGACAGCACAAUAAGAGCUUGCCCUUACGGGUGGCGAGUGACGGACGGGUGAGGAAUACAUAGGCAUCUACUUUUUCGUGGGGGAUAACGUAGAGCCACUUCCGCUAAUACCGCAUAUGUCCUACGGCUUGAAGCAGGGGUUCUUCACACCUUGCCCGAUUGUAUGAGACGAGUCCGGAUUAGCUAGUUGGCUGGGUAAAGGCCCACCAAGGCGACGAUCCGUAGCUGGUCUGAGAGGAUGAUCAGCCACACUGGAACUGAGACACGGUCCAGACUCCUACGGGAGGCAGCAGUGGGGAAUAUUGGACAAUGGGCGCAAGCCUGAUCCAGCCAUACCGCGUGGGUGAAGAAGGCCUUCGGGUUGUAAAGCCCUUUUGUUGGGAAAGAAAAGCAGCAGGUUAAUACCUCGCUGUUCUGACGGUACCCAAAGAGUAAGCACCGGCUAACUUCGUG
Molecule: ribosomal RNA, 492 nt
Filed under: uncultured bacterium
Lineage: Bacteria
Description: partial 16S ribosomal RNA
Rfam family: Bacterial small subunit ribosomal RNA
Source: RNAcentral